ACGCGAGCUGGGUUCAGAACGUCGUGAGACAGUUCGGUCCCUAUCUGUUGCGGGCGUGGGAAGUUUGCGAGGACCUGACCUUAGUACGAGAGGACCGGGUUGGACUGACCGCUGGUGUACCGGUUGUGAUGCCAAUUGCAUUGCCGGGUAGCUACGUCGGGAAGAGAUAAGCGCUGAAAGCAUCUAAGCACGAAACUCACCUCAAGAUGAGAUUUCUUUUAAGGGUCGUGGAAGACGACCACGUUGAUA
This 249-nucleotide ribosomal RNA is filed under the name Heterosigma akashiwo. RNAcentral describes it as "partial Bacterial large subunit ribosomal RNA". It matches the Rfam family "Bacterial large subunit ribosomal RNA", at positions 2598 to 2858 of the family's 2925-position model. The record is from RNAcentral. Lineage: Eukaryota; Raphidophyceae; Chattonellales; Chattonellaceae.